RNAcentral lists this long non-coding RNA (274 nucleotides) under Homo sapiens (human). RNAcentral's name for it is "HSALNT0099521". The record is from RNAcentral. Lineage: Eukaryota; Metazoa; Chordata; Mammalia; Primates; Hominidae.
GAAUGGCCCUUUGUUCUGCUGUUUAAUGACUAAUUAUGAUGCUAUGCUGGAGUUGCGUAAGAAAUAAUUACAGAAUCCAGCCAGGGCUUGCUUCUUGCCACAGGCUCCAGGCUUUUACCCCCGGUAGCUUUACAUGCUUGUUAAUUUUUAAACUGUCGAGUAGUAGCAGAAUAUUUUGUAAGCUUCAGUAAUGAUGAUGAGGACUUUUAUUGCAUGUAUGAAUGUCCCCAGAGGCUAUUACUCAAAAGGGCUCAGCUAAUAAAUAGGAGAACUA